RNAcentral lists this ribosomal RNA (519 nucleotides) under Triticum aestivum (bread wheat). Its description in RNAcentral is "partial small subunit ribosomal RNA". The record is from RNAcentral. Lineage: Eukaryota; Viridiplantae; Streptophyta; Magnoliopsida; Poales; Poaceae.
AUGAUCUGGAAGGCUCGUAUUCCCCCUAAGAUUAAAAUCUUCCUGUGGCAAGCCUUCCGAGGUCGGUUGCCCUCGGCUGAUCAAAUUCGUAAGAGAAAUGGACCGGGCUCUCAGUUAUGUGCCCUUUGCGGCGAUGUGGAAAACACAGAGCAUAUUUUUUUCCAUUGCCACCUGGCUAAGCUCAUUUGGAGCUGUGUGCGUGACUGGCUCCGUGUUUCUUGGGCCCCUGCCUCCUUUGCCGAGCUGCGUAACUUGGCAAUCAACCUCUCAGGCGUCUCCAUGCGCAUCUUUUGGGUGGGCUUGGGUGCUUUAUGUUGGUCCCUGUGGACGGCUAGGAACAAAUUUACUAUCGAGCACGUGUUUCCGGCUAAACCUGCUGACUGCUUAUUUAAAUCGUGUGCUUUCCUGCAGCAGUGGAAAUCAUUGACUAAGGUCGACGACCAAGAGGCGCUCUCUAUGCUGAUCUACAAAAUCCGGGCUACGGCGUCUCAGUUAUGCAGCCAAGAGCAGGAUGCUUAG